CACGACUCUCGGCAACGGAUAUCUCGGCCCUGGCCACGAUGAAGAACGUAGCGAAAUGCGAUACUUAGUGUGAAUUGCAGAAUCCCGUGAGUCAUCCAGUCUUUGAAUGCAAGUUGCGCCCGAGGCUUCGAAUGAGGGCACGUCUGCCUGGGUGUCGCACACAAUCGAAUCGCCCCAUUGCCUGCGUGCGGGCGGUGGAGGGGAGCUGGCUGUCCGUGUCCCUUGUGACACCGUCGGCUUAACCGGAUUGCGCUCCCCUUGUCGGGCAUCGGCGAGCGGUCGUUCGGUCGUCUUGGAUGAUCGAUACGCGGCACCGUAAGUGCACGGCAUGCGGGGAAGGCCCCCUCGACUUGAUCACACUCGGGAGGCCUAGGCUUCGGCCGGAGUUCCUCC
This 393-nucleotide ribosomal RNA is filed under the name Cycas micronesica. RNAcentral's name for it is "eukaryotic LSU rRNA". The stretch from base 4 to 157 matches the Rfam family "5.8S ribosomal RNA". Lineage: Eukaryota; Viridiplantae; Streptophyta; Cycadopsida; Cycadales; Cycadaceae. The record is from RNAcentral.